GCACAAAAAAGUUAGCGAUAUGCUAGACAUUAUCCAAAAUGUUUUAACUGAACGGUCCAUCAUUCUCUUUGGCUGAUGCAAGCACCACCAUAAAGCUCCUGCAAAAACCGAAGUAAAAAGCAAGAUCCCAACAGCAAAAAUAUUAUAAGAAUCAAGCCCGGUAUAAGCUUGCGAUAAAUCGACUGUUGCAAGGGAGUUCGAAUUUCCUAAAGAAAAGAAAGCAACCUGCUCAGCAACAUAAUACAUAACUGAAGCCAAGGUACCUUCUUCCGGCAUGGUUCGUUGCCAUAUAUCAUAAAGUAAAUACAAACCCAUGUUUUCUAAUCGAGUUAAGAGGAGAAUGAAUAGAGAAAGCUGGCAUCGCAAUUGUUUAAAAGUAGGUUUCGAGAGAAAACUUAUUAGCAAAAGGCUCCAGAUGAUUCUUACAAAAAAUGUGUAGUCAAAUGAAGCGAUAAUAGGCAACUCAUUUAAAUGUUUAGAAAUUAUAGGCAUCAACUUGUAAAAUGCUAUAAACAUUGAUGAUAGAAAGUUUAUUGGAGAAGGACUUCGUAUAGCAGGCAUAAAAGCACUCGUAACACACAAGAUGGUUUUCAUGAAGGUACUGGGUGCGAUGAAAUCGUCAACUAUAUCACGUAAAUCUGAAUAUUUUUGACCAGUCUGAUUCCAUCUUUUUAUAAUUGAUAGACAAAAUAGUUGCAAAGAACCAGCCAACCUUGUUUUAGGAUUC
Schizosaccharomyces pombe (fission yeast) is the source of this 727-nucleotide non-coding RNA. The record is from the annotation of a GenBank genome assembly. Lineage: Eukaryota; Fungi; Ascomycota; Schizosaccharomycetes; Schizosaccharomycetales; Schizosaccharomycetaceae.